Molecule: ribosomal RNA, 496 nt
Filed under: uncultured bacterium
Lineage: Bacteria
Description: partial 16S ribosomal RNA
Rfam family: Bacterial small subunit ribosomal RNA
Source: RNAcentral
GAUGAACGCUGGCGGCGUGCCCAAUACAUGCAAGUCGAGCGAUCGGACGAGAAGCUUGCUUCUCUGAUGUUAGCGGCGGACGGGUGAGUAACACGUGGAUAACCUACCUAUAAGACUGGGAUAACUUCGGGAAACCGGAGCUAAUACCGGAUAAUAUUUUGAACCGCAUGGUUCAAAAGUGAAAGACGGUCUUGCUGUCACUUAUAGAUGGAUCCGCGCUGCAUUAGCUAGUUGGUAAGGUACGGCUUACCAAGGCAACGAUGCAUAGCCGACCUGAGAGGGGGAUAGGCCACACUGGAACGUGGACACGGUCCAGACGCCUACGGGAGGCAGCAGUAGGGAAUCGUCCGCAAUGGGCGAAAGCCUGACGGAGCAACGCCGCGUGAGUGAUGAAGGUCUUCGGAUCGUAAAACUCUGUUAUUAGGGAAGAACAUAUGUGUAAGUAACUGUGCACAUCUUGACGGUACCUAAUCAGAAAGCCACGGCUAACUACGUG